This 850-nucleotide long non-coding RNA is filed under the name Salmo salar (Atlantic salmon). Its description in RNAcentral is "lncRNA (ENSSSAG00000100027.1)". Lineage: Eukaryota; Metazoa; Chordata; Actinopteri; Salmoniformes; Salmonidae. The record is from RNAcentral.
UUUUGCACGGGCUAUGUCUAAAUCCACCGCAUCCGCUUAUGGCGGCCUUCUGCAUCUGUGGUGGAAGGUGGCAGAGCUACAACGGUUUUUGUAAGACCAUGAAAUAUCCUGAAAAUUGGUCUUGUCACGAAAAUGACUAGCAUUCGGACGGUUUGGCUUGUAUGACCAAUUUAUGGAAAGAUAGUGUUCUCUGUUUUGCUCUAUGACCCCGACAAGUGUCAGGAGACUCAUCUGAAGAGUUCCCAGUUGUCUUGAAAGCACCAUGAAUCCAGUGAAUGCCAGACUUUGAUGACAAAGUUUGAUGACAAAUUUGCCCACAAAGGACCGCCACGCCACCUUCCUGUACAAGACCUGAGCCCUAGGACCAUGCCUCAGGACUACCUGGUAUGAUGACUCCUUGCUGUCCCCAGUCCACCUGGCCGUGCUGCUGCUCCAGUUUCAACUGUUCUGCCUGCGGCUAUGGAACCCUGACCUGUUCACCGGACGUGCUUGUUGCACCCUCGACAACUACUAUGAUUAUUAUUAUUUGACCAUGCUGGUCAUUUAUGAACAUUUUAACAUUUUAACAUUUUGACCAUGUUCUGUUAUAAUAUCCACCCUGCACAGCCAGAAGAGGACUGGCCACCCCUCAUAGCCUGGUUCCUCUCUAGGUUUCUUCCUAGGUUUUUGGCCUUUCUAGGGAGUUUUUCCUAGGGACUUUUUCCUAGCCACCGUGCUUCUUUCACAUGCUUUGCUUGCUGUUUGGGGUUUUAGGCUGGGUUUCUGUACAGCACUUUGAGAAUAUCAGCUGAUGUACGAAGGGCUAUAUAAAAAUAAAUUUGAUUUGAUUUAAUCACCUGGAAGGUAUUUC